Dermacentor andersoni is the source of this 1785-nucleotide non-coding RNA. The record is from RefSeq and is a predicted model, not a curated record. NCBI's taxonomy places the organism in Eukaryota, Metazoa, Arthropoda, Arachnida, Ixodida, Ixodidae.
AAGUGAAAACAGGGUCAAUGUGCGCUUCGUCACAGAAAAAAAAAAACAGAAAAAGGACAAACAGACACUUUUAUCGCGCAUGGACAACUUGUCAUUUGAGUAAUUACAAUAUAUAUAUACGGUCAGGAGAAGUGUGGUUCAAAAUAUAAAAGUCAUCUCCUUUUUAAAAAAAAGUUCUAGCAGGAGUCUGGAAAUUCCGCAAAUGGAAAACAUAUAGAAAGCAAAAAGAAAGUCUGAGCACUGAACAUUGCAAGAGGACAUGUUGGACUAGUCUGUGCUUGCUAACGGACAUAAUGUAAGGCAACGACACAACCACAAAGACACAUAUACACAUGUCAUAGCACCACGUGUUGUCGUUAGUUGUCUGUCCCUGUCUUAUUGGCGCUAUUGAACUUCCCUGUAUGACAGAACAAAUUGCCCGAAUCAAUGCCUUGGUAAUAAGCGCUAUAGUCUGAUCAUUUCACAACAGGACAAAAGUAAUAAAUUGGCAGCGUGCGCUCGUUGUCUAACAGUUGUCUUAAGUAUUACGAAGAAUACACACAGCAUGAACGAUACUCGGGACCCUCACCUGUACCUCAACUAAUCAUACAGAAGGCUGAACAGUUAUAAUUUUUAGAGGAACCGCACAGGCUGGCAACUAGCGCUUGACGGAAUUAACAGUGAACAGGAAUUUCGGCCGCAGGCGACACUGGUUGGGAGAAGCUCUGGGUGCACAGCGCGAUCAGUGCCAUCUGCAGCGGUAUUAGACAGCUUACGUUUCUGCAAUUUCUUUGUGCUUUAAAGAUUAAAAAUGCUGCUAUGCGUACGAUCAACUGAGUGUGGAUAAGAUUAAGGCGGGCGUAGGAAAAAUUUCGAUAAUAGCGUCGGUGUAGAGUUCAAAAUGCACUUCCAGAGCCUGAACCCUAAGCCAAAUCUCUGUAUACAGAGUGUCCCAACUAUCAUGCAUCGCGUUUUCAAGAAAAGGCGGGCCAUUCUACGCGAUGAUGACAAAGUGCAUAUUGUUCACAUUCGAGUAGAGCAGUCGCCAGUAAUUUUGUUGUUGAUACCAUUCAAUUUAUUAGCUAAUUGCAAUUCUCUAUAUAUAUAUUACUGCUCUGAAUGGCAUGCUGUCAAUGAAUAAUUUGCAGAUAAUUGUAAGAAGCUUAGAAAUGGCAUGCCUUGGGCCAGGCACUUUAUGCCAGCAAUUUUUUUCCCGGUUGAUAAAGAAAGUCCGCAAAAGAUGAAAAGCGCCACGCGACUAACAGUCCGCCGGCAUCAAAAAGCAGCACCCUCAAACACGUUUCACAGGAGCUGGUGAGCGUACUCCCUCCGCGACGCAUCAGCCACCACUUAUCGGCACUCUUUCCUUAUCAACGCCCAGGCGCGCGCUGUCGCGGGCGGAACGCGUCAGAUAAAACGCCAACUCUGCCACUUACUGCUAUGGAACUUGUCUGAGGGCGCUGCUUUCUGAUGCGGACUAGGGUGUCUCUAUGUCAGAAGCUUGGCAUAGAGACACCCUAAUGCGGGCGCACGUCGCAGGCAGGGAUCGCUUUCUCGGCGACGUCGAGAGUUCAGGCGCCGACUCUCGCUUACCCUGGCGUGAAACUCGGGAUCCUUUACUCGGCGUCACCUCUUCUCAGCCGCAGAUUCGGCGCGGUGUUCUGGAUCAACUCGGCGGCGACGCAUCGCUUCUCGCUUGGCAGUACGGCGCUCUUCCUGUCCCGACAUCUCUACGAAGUACAAAGCCCUGACAGCAACGCGGUGAGUGGGCUGGCUGCAACUGUACUCACCAAGGAGGCCAGAUGC